GGUGAUCUGGUAUCUGCUCAGGAAGUCCUGGGGAGGAAAGCACACUGUCACUCUUCUUUGGACGUGGGCGUGGCUUACCAGGGCGCUUCCCCGAGGCCUCUGUAGAAGAGAGCCAGGUCCAUGCACGGCUUGGCGCAGCCCUCAAGGGGGUGAGAACCACAGUCACCACUCAGCAUGGGCACAAAACUGCUCAGAGAGGACCUGCGUCAGGUUGGGAGGCCCUGAAGCACGUCCAGGACACAGCUUGAAAUCAAGCAAGAAGAGCAGUCUCCUCUCCCAGAGCCUAUGCUGCAAGGGCCCCAGGAGUCACUCAAACCUCGGCAAGGAGGACCAGUAACCAUCACACUUCCCAAAGCCUGGAAAUAGCGGAGAGAGCCAGGGACCAAGAACUUCUGCCAUGGACUGAUGCUCUGAGCAGACCCCGGUGCCUGGAGUUGGGAUCCAGGGUGUCUGCCACCUUCCCUGCCCCUGCAGUGGGGACAUUUACAAGGAGGCAACCUUAAGCUGAGUGAAGAAUGCUGCUGUUGGGAAGCGCAAGGACAAUGAGAGUAUGUGACAGGGACUCCUAAGCUGGCCUCUGGAUCAUAGAAGGUGACUCCAAACCAAGAAGGAAGAAUAUUCUUCAUCUGAAAA
This is a long non-coding RNA of Marmota flaviventris (yellow-bellied marmot), 633 nucleotides long. RefSeq lists it as uncharacterized. The record is from RefSeq and is a predicted model, not a curated record. NCBI's taxonomy places the organism in Eukaryota, Metazoa, Chordata, Mammalia, Rodentia, Sciuridae.